GAGUGUGCCGUCAAUUGACCGCCCAGAAGCUGUGGUUAACCGCAGCUUAAUUGAUGAACGCUGGGUGGCCUUUGUUUGUCUGCCGAACACGUGGCAGCAGCUAUUUUACCUCCCGAACGGCCCGUGGUGUUCAGCGCCCAAACUAUGGAACUGAAGGACACACCCCCACCACAACCCCGCUGUUUUAAGUCUAAAAUCAGCGGGGGACCCUAAACAAACCAACCAUGGCCUGUUCCACCGUCUCUGGAAUGGCCAGAUUAAAACGGUCGAGCCCGACCUCAGUCAAAUGAACCCCAUCCUUCUCAAAACCUGAUGAAAUGGGCAUCCCCCAAACCCCUAUAACAAACCGCGAAACCCAGCGGUUAAACCCUUCGUGGCAGCG
Pelobates cultripes (western spadefoot toad) is the source of this 382-nucleotide non-coding RNA. The record is from the annotation of a GenBank genome assembly. Lineage: Eukaryota; Metazoa; Chordata; Amphibia; Anura; Pelobatidae.